RNAcentral lists this long non-coding RNA (1099 nucleotides) under Rattus norvegicus (Norway rat). Its description in RNAcentral is "THUMPD3 antisense RNA 1 (Thumpd3-as1)". The record is from RNAcentral. Lineage: Eukaryota; Metazoa; Chordata; Mammalia; Rodentia; Muridae.
CUGUGCUCUGGGGCUCCGGCUCCUCAGAGAGCCUCGGCUAGAUUGUUCCUUGAGGACAGGACAGUGCUUGUUUAAGACUGUAUUCCUGCUGUCUGAGCAGUAACAGGUCUUCGAGAUCAACAUGAUUUUCAUAAUCCCAAGAUGUUGCCUUUUCCGUUCUCAGAAGCAAGCAGAGGCACGCUGAUACUGUCACUAUGUUGAAUGCUGCUGUGCGGUUUGGAUUUUUUUAAGGUAGUUUAGGUAGGAGGUAUGUGUUUUGUAUGAAUUAAACUCUAAGUUACACCUUCCAUAAUUCAUGCAGUGUUGUGCAAUUGCCAUUUUUAAGUCUUGCAGUUUUUUUCGUACAUGAGGAUAAAGGUGCUUUAGAGUGCUUAAAUAGCGUGUCUUUUGCAACAUACUAUUUAUUCAUUUAUUCAUAUUAUUUAUUUUACGCAUAUGAGAGUUUUGUCUGCAUACAUGUUUGUGAGCUAUAUGCAUGCCUAGUGCUUGGUGAGAUCAGAAGAGGGUGUUGGGUCCCUUGAAACUGUAGUUACAGGGGUUGUGACCCACCAUGUGGCUGAAGUGAAUUGAACCCAGCUUCUACAAGAGCAAAGAGUAUUCUAAACCACUGAGCCAUCUUUCCAGCUCCAACAUACUAACUUCAGAUAGUGUUGGAACCAUCAAUACUGUGUAGUCAUUUUGAAGGGAGUCAUUCCAGUGAGUGCUGGAUUAUUUUGAAUGCUAUGGAAGGAACAUUUAAAUGUUUCAUAAAACAAAACUGUCAGAAGCUUCAAAGUAGAAAUUAAAAAGCUGAAGUAUUUCAGAAGGGAAACAAGCUACUUGCUGUAUUAGUUAGAGAAAUACAUACUAGCUAAGAAAAUUUAAAAACCAUAUACUUGACAUUGCUGAGUAUCUGCCAGAUGAAAAGGAAUGCUCAGAGUGGUUCUGUUGAGCAAUAUAACAACUUGUUAUAUUAAAGACUUUCCCACAGAUUUAAACUCUAAUCUGUAAUUCAUGUAUGUAUGUUACAAAUGGAUGAAACUUAAAACGUGGCUGGUCUUGUCACUGUGUUUGUAUUUAUGUGAAAGCUUGGCAAUAAACUUAUGUCCUAAAAUGGUCA